CAGUCGCCGCGGUAAUACGUAGGUGGCAAGCGUUGUCCGGAAUUAUUGGGCGUAAAGGGCUCGCAGGCGGUUUCUUAAGUCUGAUGUGAAAGCCCCCGGCUCAACCGGGGAGGGUCAUUGGAAACUGGGAAACUUGAGUGCAGAAGAGGAGAGUGGAAUUCCACGUGUAGCGGUGAAAUUCGUAGAGAUGUGGAGGAACACCAGUGGCGAAGGCGACUCUCUGGUCUGUAACUGACGCUGAGGAGCGAAAGCGUGGGGAGCGAACAGGAUUAGAUACCCCAGUAGUCCCUGUCUCUUAUAC
RNAcentral lists this ribosomal RNA (301 nucleotides) under uncultured bacterium. RNAcentral describes it as "partial 16S ribosomal RNA". It matches the Rfam family "Bacterial small subunit ribosomal RNA", at positions 509 to 807 of the family's 1533-position model. The record is from RNAcentral.